Salvia splendens (bonfire salvia) is the source of this 1994-nucleotide RNA transcript. RefSeq lists it as uncharacterized. The record is from RefSeq and is a predicted model, not a curated record. The transcript has 7 exons. NCBI's taxonomy places the organism in Eukaryota, Viridiplantae, Streptophyta, Magnoliopsida, Lamiales, Lamiaceae.
GUUGACAAAUUGUUUACGGGAGGCUCUUGAUGAAGUAUCUGACUAGAGCAUACCAUUAUGAAAUUUUUGUAUUUGUGAUAAUCCCAAAAUGGCAUAGAACAAUCUUUCUUCUUCCACAGCUGCAGCGUUCUUGGGCUGAACCUGAACGUGAUCGACUAGAACGGGCAAACAUCUAUGCGAAUGAUGUAGAUAGGAACCCAGUUGGUGCAACCAAAGGGGGUGGUCUCACAGAUCAUGGGGAUUUAGGCUACAAUGUUCGUGCCAAUGAAAGUCUUCGUGCAAAGUUAAUUCCUUUACAGGGAUGUUGCAACAGUGAAGCUUCUCAGCUGCUGAACAGCCAUAUGUUUCAUUAUUUGCCUUUCUUUUGGAGUUGAUAUUACUGGUUUAGUAUUUCCUUGUGAUCACUUAUGUAGAUUUAGAGAGGAACUAAUGCCCUCUACCCUACUUCCAUACUUCCAACGUAAAGUUUAAAAUGAUGCAAUGGAUGCACAGAAUUAGUCUUCUAAUCUUGUGAGAACUUGAGCUCUUUUCUGAUGUAUAAAGAUGAUAGUAUAUAUGAGCAUUGAUGACCUCAAAAUUUUGAUAGCUGCUUCAAGUGCUGAAUAAUGAUUGGAUUACUACAGUACUAGUCUAGCUUACAAUUUACAUAUUAUUUGGGUUCUCAUAUUAUUUGAUGUGCCUAUUUUAAUGAGGAGUUUUAUUUGAAUUUAAACCCUUUCUUGUGCAGUCUGAGAAGUAAUAGAAAACAGACCUGAGCCUAUGUAUGGUAACCCAAUACUAAAAUUGCUACCUGUAAACAGGGUUGAUCACAGAUUCACAAUGUCAUUGAAUGAUGUGAUUUUCUCUAUCAUUUGUGUUUAUGAAUUGCUGUUGUGCUAGGAGUAUAAAGUUGUAAAAUAUUUUUAUUUGAUUUUUGUUUCUUUUCUCUGGGUUUCCUUAGGUGCCAUAUUGCCUAGAAGUUUAGAGAAUUUUCCGAGUUAAUGCAUUUCAACUGUAUUAUGUUUUGAAGGUUGGACAGCUGCCAUGAAUGCUCAUAGCAUUUUGCCAGAAGACUCAUCUGAGAGGCCGGUUGUGUAUGCAAGGAAGAGUGCUGCGCCAUGGGGUCGCUCAAUUCUUCCCCACCUGCUGAUUCAGCCUACUGGUGGGGUCUCUACUGGGUUGCAGGGAGAUUUCUUAAAUGAACUCCGACAGGCAAUGGAUAAUGCAAGUCCCUUCUCCUAAUCCGUUGCUCACCACCUAUACUUUGCAUUUGGUGGAUUUGAUCCUUGAGCUGUAUGACUAGGAUUUGAUGUAUGUGCUUUAUGCCAUGCUGCCCCUUCCAAUGUAAUCUAUCCGCCUGGCACCAAUGUCGAAGGGAUAAUGCCUUGAGCAGCUAAACGCUUCUCAACCCAAAAGACAACAUGUUUUGAUGUAGGCUUCUUCUCAUCAACCAGAAAUGGCUCUACAGUGCUAACUCCUCUACCAUAUGAGGAUAUGGAGAAACCCUUUGGCCCUAUAGUUGAUAAUAAUGCACAUCAGCAUAUAUAUUAUUUUAUUUUCUGGAAUAUCACUCGCAUACCAUUGAUAGUUCCAUCAGGGAAAAAUGCCCAGAAUGAAUAAGGGAGGAAUCACUCUUUCCCCUACCUUGUUAUCAUUGAAGGAAAGCUCGAGCUCGGAGAUGUCUUGUUGGGCUGCAAGAGUUGUUUUGAGUGAAGGGAUCACAUCCUCCUCCAUCAUCUCAGGAAGAGGCUUUGCCGGAGCUUUUUCUGCACGCUUAGGCUUUGGCUUCGGCUCUGCAGUCGCACCUUCCGCCGCCUCUUUCUCCUCCUUUGUCUCAGCAGCAGCAGCAACUGAUUUAACAAUCACCAUAUAUAUUACACUCACAAACUGCACAAGUUAAGCCAAGAAUAUUAAUCACUGAAGAUCUUUGCAUGCAAUAGGGAAAAUCUUGAACUGAUACCAGUGAUGAUGAUGUAGCUCUGCUUUUCUGGCACAAAUAAGAAGAAGGGCAUCUG